RNAcentral lists this transfer RNA (70 nucleotides) under Hoplodactylus sp. Otago Southland. RNAcentral's name for it is "tRNA-Tyr". It matches the Rfam family "tRNA". From Rfam's summary of the family: Transfer RNA (tRNA) molecules are approximately 80 nucleotides in length. Their secondary structure includes four short double-helical elements and three loops (D, anti-codon, and T loops). The record is from RNAcentral. Lineage: Eukaryota; Metazoa; Chordata; Lepidosauria; Squamata; Diplodactylidae.
AGGUAGAAUGGCCGAAUGUUAGGUGGCCGGCUGUAGUCCUGCUUACAUAGGUUAAAGUCCUGUUUCUUCC